CGGGAGGCAGCAGUGGGGAAUAUUGCACAAUGGGGGAAACCCUGAUGCAGCGACGCCGCGUGAAGGAAGAAGUAUCUCGGUAUGUAAACUUCUAUCAUCAGGGAAGAUAGUGACGGUACCUGACUAAGAAGCCCCGGCUAACUACGUGCCAGCAGCCGCGGUAA
RNAcentral lists this ribosomal RNA (164 nucleotides) under uncultured bacterium. RNAcentral's name for it is "partial 16S ribosomal RNA". It matches the Rfam family "Bacterial small subunit ribosomal RNA", at positions 342 to 523 of the family's 1533-position model. The record is from RNAcentral.